Non-coding RNA from Cinara cedri, 262 nucleotides. Lineage: Eukaryota; Metazoa; Arthropoda; Insecta; Hemiptera; Aphididae. The record is from the annotation of a GenBank genome assembly.
GCGAUUGCCACCCGACCGAUUCGUUAGCGACUCAAGUUCAAGAGCCAACUGCCAACUGUUUUCGAUCGGAAGUCGCGUAGGGCCUUUGCGUUUUUAAAUUCUAAGCGUGUUGGAUUCCUCUACGACGUGAACUUCGUCUGUAAUUGAUUUUACUACCAGAAAUAUUGUCACAAAGAAAACGCCGCGAAAAUGCAGUGGCGGUUAUAAUUUUUGUUUAAUAAGGGGGUAGGGGUAGGCGGUUAGUAAAAUAUUCAACAUGUCU